UGCUUCUUCAAGAUCAACCGCAUGUUUCUGCACAUCCAUCUGCAUCCAAGAACAUGCUGCCGCCACCACCACCACCACCCAGGAACAUGCUACCCCCACCUCCCAAGAGCAUGCCUCCGCCACCACCUAAGUUUCCUUCAAAUGAGAUGUCAAGAAAUGAGGAUAGGUGUGCAGAUUUAAACAAGCCAAUGGCACCUCCGAAGAGCAUGCCACCCCCACCUCCCAAGAGCAUGCCUCCGCCACCGCCUAAGUUUCCUUCAAAUGAGAUGUCAAGAAAUGAGGAUAGGCGUUCAGAUUUAAACAAGCCAAUGGCACCUCCGAGAUCCUUGGACGUGAGUUCAGUCUCACCACCAAAUUUGUAUUCAGCACAAUUACCUUCAAAGGAGCCUAGAGUGGUCAAACCUGGUGGGGCAUC
RNAcentral lists this long non-coding RNA (415 nucleotides) under Oryza sativa (Asian cultivated rice). RNAcentral describes it as "long non-coding RNA (OSAT_LNC000513)". The record is from RNAcentral. Lineage: Eukaryota; Viridiplantae; Streptophyta; Magnoliopsida; Poales; Poaceae.